Molecule: ribosomal RNA, 1343 nt
Filed under: Acinetobacter baumannii
Lineage: Bacteria; Pseudomonadati; Pseudomonadota; Gammaproteobacteria; Moraxellales; Moraxellaceae
Description: bacterial LSU rRNA
Rfam family: Bacterial large subunit ribosomal RNA
Source: RNAcentral
GUUGUAUAGUCAAGUAAUUAAGUGCAUGUGGUGGAUGCCUUGGCAGUCAGAGGCGAUGAAAGACGUGAUAGCCUGCGAAAAGCUCCGGGGAGGCGGCAAAUAUCCUUUGAUCCGGAGAUGUCUGAAUGGGGGAACCCACCUACUUUAAGGUAGGUAUUGCAACAUGAAUACAUAGUGUUGCAAGGCGAACGAGGGGAAGUGAAACAUCUCAGUACCCUUAGGAAAAGAAAUCAAUUGAGAUUCCCUCAGUAGCGGCGAGCGAACGGGGAUCAGCCCAUUAAGUUAUGUGUGUUUUAGUGGAACGCUCUGGGAAGUGCGAACGUAGAGGGUGAUAUUCCCGUACACGAAAGGGCACACAUAAUGAUGACGAGUAGGGCGAGGCACGUGAAACCUUGUCUGAAUAUGGGGGGACCAUCCUCCAAGGCUAAAUACUCCUGACUGACCGAUAGUGAACCAGUACCGUGAGGGAAAGGCGAAAAGAACCCCUGUGAGGGGAGUGAAAUAGAUCCUGAAACCGCAUGCAUACAAGCAGUGGGAGCACCUUCGUGGUGUGACUGCGUACCUUUUGUAUAAUGGGUCAGCGACUUAUAUUCAGUAGCAAGGUUAACCGUAUAGGGGAGCCGUAGAGAAAUCGAGUCUUAAUAGGGCGUUUAGUUGCUGGGUAUAGACCCGAAACCAGGCGAUCUAUCCAUGAGCAGGUUGAAGGUUGGGUAACACUAACUGGAGGACCGAACCCACUGUCGUUGAAAAGCCAGGGGAUGACUUGUGGAUAGGGGUGAAAGGCUAAUCAAGCCUGGUGAUAGCUGGUUCUCCCCGAAAGCUAUUUAGGUAGCGCCUCGGACGAAUACCAUAGGGGGUAGAGCACUGUUUCGGCUAGGGGGUCAUCCCGACUUACCAAACCGAUGCAAACUCCGAAUACCUAUGAGUACUAUCCGGGAGACAGACUGCGGGUGCUAACGUCCGUAGUCAAGAGGAAAACAAUCCAGACCGCCAGCUAAGGCCCCAAAAUCAUAGUUAAGUGGGAAACGAUGUGGGAAGGCAUAGACAGCUAGGAGGUUGGCUUAGAAGCAGCCACCCUUUAAAGAAAGCGUAAUAGCUCACUAGUCGAGUCGGCCUGCGCGGAAGAUGUAACGGGGCUAAAACUAUGUGCCGAAGCUGCGGAUNNNNNNNNNNNNNNNNNNNNNUUGACAUUAGUCAAGUGGUAGGGGAGCGUUCUGUAAGCCGAUGAAGGUGUAUUGAGAAGUAUGCUGGAGGUAUCAGAAGUGCGAAUGCUGACGUGAGUAACGACAAAACGGGUGAAAAACCCGUUCGCCGAAAGACCAAGGGUUCCAGUCCAACGUUAA